RNAcentral lists this ribosomal RNA (253 nucleotides) under uncultured bacterium. RNAcentral describes it as "partial 16S ribosomal RNA". It matches the Rfam family "Archaeal small subunit ribosomal RNA", at positions 474 to 727 of the family's 1478-position model. The record is from RNAcentral.
UACCAGCACCCUGAGUGGUCGGGACGAUUAUUGGGCCUAAAGCAUCCGUAGCCGGCCUUACAAGUCCUCCGUUAAAUCCAGCUGCUUAACAGAUGGGCUGCGGAGGAUACUAUAAGACUAGGAGGCAGGAGAGGCAAGCGGUACUCAGUGGGUAGGGGUAAAAUCCGUUGAUCCAUUGAAGACCACCAGUGGCGAAGGCGGCUUGCCAGAAUGCGCUCGACGGUGAGGGAUGAAAGCUGGAGGAGCAAACCGG